RNAcentral lists this ribosomal RNA (490 nucleotides) under uncultured bacterium. RNAcentral describes it as "partial 16S ribosomal RNA". It matches the Rfam family "Bacterial small subunit ribosomal RNA", at positions 30 to 507 of the family's 1533-position model. The record is from RNAcentral.
AUUGAACGCUGGCGGCAGGCCUAACACAUGCAAGUCGAACGGUAACAGGAAGACGCUUGCUUCUUUGCUGACGAGUGGCGGACGGGUGAGUAAUGUCUGGGACACUGCCUGAUGGAGGGGGAUAACUACUGGAAACGGUAGCUAAUACCGCAUAACGUCGCAAGACCAAAGAGGGGGACCUUCGGGCCUCUUGCCAUCGGAUGUGCCCAGAUGGGAUUAGCUAGUAGGUGGGGUAACGGCUCACCUAGGCGACGAUCCCUAGCUGGUCUGAGAGGAUGACCGGCCACACUGGAGCUGAGACACGGUCCAGACGCCUACGGGAGGCAGCAGUGGGGAAUAUUACACAAUGGGCGGAAGCCUGAUGCAGUCAGGCCGCGUGUAUGAAGAAGGCCUUCGGGUUGUAAAGUACUUUCAGCGGUGAGGAAGGGAGUAAAGUUAAUACCUUGGCUCAUUGACGUUACCCGCAGAUGAAGCACCGGCUAACUACGUG